CUGUCUAUUCAUAUACAAAAAUAUCAGAAUAGGCAGCCAACUUGUCCGCGUUCUUCAGCCACUCUGCCAUCAAUUUCAAAUCCCAGUCCUUACAAAUUCUCUUUAGAAAACAAAUUAAACUAUAUUUUUCCUCAGUUUAAUUAAUUUAUGGGUGUGAAUAUAAUGAAUUGGAUAGGGUUGCCCGCACUUCUUCUUCUGCUACUCUUCAACAAUGGAACAUCACAGUCCAUCAUCAAAACUCUUCCAGGUUACUCGGGUACUCUGCCCUUUAAACUUGAAACCGGGUCAGUUCUUUCAAUCUUUAUUUCGUUAUUCAUUACUAUUUAAUUUCUUUUCAUGUUUAGCAGUGUUGAGUUCAUUCUGUUAUCCAACAUAAAGUAAAUUCAAGAAACUGAAUUCUUUGCAAAUAUUUUUAGAAUUUUUGUUUGAAUGAUUGAAUAGAUACAUUGGUGUGGGUGAAAACGAUGAAGUGCAGCUAUUCUACUAUUUCGUUGAGUCGGAAAAUAAUCCUAAAACAGACCCUCUUUUAUUUUGGAUUACUGGUGGACCUGGUUGCUCUGGCUUAUCCCCUCUCGUCUAUGAAAUUGG
Molecule: long non-coding RNA, 588 nt
Filed under: Olea europaea subsp. europaea
Lineage: Eukaryota; Viridiplantae; Streptophyta; Magnoliopsida; Lamiales; Oleaceae
Source: RNAcentral